AAACAUCUUUUCUUGUUAAUUUUUAUGAAGUAUGUCCUGCCCACUGAGACUUAAAUGGCCGCAGUAUUUUGACUGUGCGAAGGUAGCAUAAUCAUUAGUUUAUUAAUUGUUAACUUGUAUGAAUGGUUUGACGAAAUAUUGACUGUCUCUUGAGUAUUAUUAUAAUUUGAAUUUUAAGUUAAAAUGCUUAAUUAUUAUUAUGGGACGAGAAGACCCUAUAGAUCUUUAAUAAUUAAUUUAAUAUGUUGUUUAGAUUUUAUAUUUAUAUUGUUUAUAUUAUUUUUGUUGGGGUGACAUUAAGAUAUAUUUAACUCUUAAUUAUUAUUAUCAUUUAUUUUUGUUAUAUUGAUUUAUGUUAUUAUUAUAAGAUAAAGAUACCUUAGGGAUAACAGCGUAAUUUUUUUUUAGAGUUCUUAUCAACAAUUAAGAUUGCGACCUCGAUGUUGGAUUAAGAUAAUUUUUGGGUGUAGAUGCUAAAUUGAGUAGGUCUGUUCGACCUUUAAUAUCUUACAUGAUCUGA
Molecule: ribosomal RNA, 520 nt
Filed under: Cranidium gibbosum
Lineage: Eukaryota; Metazoa; Arthropoda; Insecta; Phasmatodea; Phasmatidae
Description: partial 16S ribosomal RNA
Rfam family: Bacterial large subunit ribosomal RNA
Source: RNAcentral